This 906-nucleotide long non-coding RNA is filed under the name Phaseolus vulgaris (common bean). RNAcentral's name for it is "long non-coding RNA (PVUL_LNC002510)". The record is from RNAcentral. Lineage: Eukaryota; Viridiplantae; Streptophyta; Magnoliopsida; Fabales; Fabaceae.
CUCUCUGCCUCACACUCACAUGAACCCUGCGCUGCUUCCACACGAAUCGAGCACUCUGCCUCAUACAAACCCUAGUGAUGUCUGACUCCCACGAACCCUAGUGCUUGCUGCUUCCACACGAACCUAGGGCUCUCUGCCUCACACGAACCCUAGCCAUGCCUGCCUCACACGAACUCUGCCUCCAUACGAACCCUAGCGCUCUCUGCCUCACAAAACCCUACUCUCUCUGCCUCUACACGGAACCGAUUUGAAGGUAAUUUGAUGUUUAGGAUUUGUCAUGUGAUUCUAUUUGUGUAUUUCAUUAUGUGUUUCAUCUUUUUACUAGGUAGCUAAAGAGAAAUUGAAGAAAUUUAUCACAGAGGCGGCAGGGGAGAAAGAGUUUCCUGACUCGAGUUCUGAUUUUCGAGCAAUUAAAGCAAGUUAUCACAGAGGCAGGUGAGAGAAUUCUAAAACUCAUUUUUUGUUCCAAUCCUGCUGAAACUGCUUUUCUGUAUCCAAGGGUCUUUGUUGAGUGAGGAGAAUGGUCUGUUUUCUUACAUGGUUCAUAGGUGAAGCUUGCCCAUUCACGUAUGAGUAAAAGAAUGACACUGCAUCGUCUUGACAUUGUUGAAUCUGAUUUGUUGAGAAAGCCAUUUGGCGGUCUGCAACAACCAUUUGCCCUUUCCAGGUUUCAGCCUUGAGGACAAGGCUAACUCUAUUGGGCAGGGAAUUGAUAUCCCACUCAGGUCCAUAGUUGUAAACCUAAGAAUAAAAAGUAGGAUUGAUUGUUUAGUGGUUCUGUUUAGGUGUAUUUCUGUUUCAAUUAGUAGAGAAGGAGUAUUUGGAGAAUGGUCGAUUCUGUUAGAGGGGAGUGGGGUUGGUCUUUUUCCUUUGGAAAAAUGUUGAGAUCAUCCUGGGGGAUUCAUC